RNAcentral lists this ribosomal RNA (497 nucleotides) under uncultured bacterium. RNAcentral describes it as "partial 16S ribosomal RNA". It matches the Rfam family "Bacterial small subunit ribosomal RNA", at positions 28 to 507 of the family's 1533-position model. The record is from RNAcentral.
GAUGAACGCUGGCGGCGUGCCUAAUACAUGCAAGUCGAGCGAACAGACGAGGAGCUUGCUUCUCUGACGUUAGCGGCGGACGGGUGAGUAACACGUGGAUAACCUACCUAUAAGACUGGGAUAACUUCGGGAAACCGGAGCUAAUACCGGAUGAUAUAUUGAACCGCAUGGUUCAAUAGUGAAAGACGGUUUUGCUGUCACUUAUAGAUGGAUCCGCGCUGCAUUAGCUAGUUGGUAAGGUAACGGCUUACCAAGGCAACGAUGCGUAGCCGACCUGAGAGGGUGAUCGGCCACACUGGAACUGAGACACGGUCCAGACUCCUACGGGAGGCAGCAGUAGGGAAUCUUCCGCAAUGGGCGAAAGCUUGACGGAGCAACGCCGCGUGAGUGAUGAAGGUCUUCGGAUCGUAAAACUCUGUUAUUAGGGAAGAACAAAUGUGUAAGUAACUAUGCACGUCUUGACGGUACCUAAUCAGAAAGCCACGGCUAACUACGUG